Molecule: long non-coding RNA, 728 nt
Organism: Poecilia latipinna (sailfin molly)
Lineage: Eukaryota; Metazoa; Chordata; Actinopteri; Cyprinodontiformes; Poeciliidae
Exons: 3
Source: RefSeq, a predicted model, not a curated record
GAGAAGGAGGGAUUGUUUAGUGACAGCUUUCGGGGACCCGCCCGCCGUGACAGCGGCAGCAGCGGCGUCGACUUGUGCGGCUCUGACAACUCCCUCCGCUACAAAUAACCCCCCCCCCCUCUCCCGAAGCAUAGCCCAUUAAAGCCUCCCGGCCCGGCUCUUUUUGACGGAAUAACUUCUCACACAACUUAAUGAAGUGCUCGCUCAUUGUUGUGCCCAGGACUGCUACUGUGGCUUUCCGCGUCAGAGCAGCAACAGAGAUGUAAACGCCAAAUUGCACUACCGCAUCUUCCUCUUCAUAUGCUUCUGACAUAACGAGGAGCCGAGAAGUGACAGAGAGGAAGAUGGAGGUCCAAAGUGGCGUUCAGGAGCCAGAGCCCUGCCCACUGGACUCUCCUCAGUCGGUGGCCAGUCAGCAGAAUGAAGCGAAAGACGGACAGAUGGAUACGAGUGGCCGGACGUCCGCUGACGACCAAAGCAAGGACACACACCCGGCAAGCCAGAGAGAUGACAAAAAAUUGUAGCCGCACGGCCGUCUGGCUGCAGGAGCUCAAAUAGCAUCCCAGCAUCCCAUCGAUUUCAGCCUCCAUCUCCGGAUAUCAGUGCCUUGAAGGAGCAGUCCCAGUCUGCCUCAACUCUCCACAGGUUGAUCAUUACACCAAUGUACCUGAUCGACAAGUGUCCAGUUGGUUAUUAAAUUGGAAAAAUAAAAAUGCCCUGUGGACAUG